GACGAACGCUGGCGGCGUGCUUAACACAUGCAAGUCGAACGGAAAGGCCCUGCUUUUGUGGGGUGCUCGAGUGGCGAACGGGUGCGUAACACGUGAGUAACCUGCCCUUGUCUUUGGGAUAACUUCAGGAAACUGGGGCUACUACCGGAUAGCAUCCCCUGCUGCAUGGUGGGGGUUGGAAAGUUUCGGCGGUUGGGGCUGGACUGGCGGCUUAUCAGCUUGUUGGUGGGGUAGUGGCUUACCAAGGCUUUGACGGGUAGCCGGCCUGGGAGGGUGGCCGGCGACAAUGGGACUGAGGUACGGAGCAGACUCGAACGGGAGGCAGCAGUGGGGAGUAUGGCACAGUGGGCGGAAGCCUGAUGCAGAAACGCCGGGUGCGGGAUGACGGCUUGCGGGUUGUAAAACGCCGCCGCCUGUGACGAAGCGUGAGUGACGGUAAUGAGUAAAGAAGCACCGGCUAACUACGUG
This 468-nucleotide ribosomal RNA is filed under the name uncultured bacterium. RNAcentral's name for it is "partial 16S ribosomal RNA". It matches the Rfam family "Bacterial small subunit ribosomal RNA", at positions 28 to 507 of the family's 1533-position model. The record is from RNAcentral.